Molecule: ribosomal RNA, 455 nt
Filed under: uncultured bacterium
Lineage: Bacteria
Description: bacterial SSU rRNA
Rfam family: Bacterial small subunit ribosomal RNA
Source: RNAcentral
CACAUGCAAGUCAACUUGACUGAAGGAGCAAUCUGACAGUAGAGUGGCGCAAGGGUGCGUAACGCGUAAGUAACUUGCCCAAGGUAAGGAAUAACGUCGAGAAAUCGGCGCUAAUACCUCAUAAUGCAGCGGAUCCGCAUGGAUAUGUUGUUAAAGGUUUACCGCCUUGGGAUAGGCUUGCGUCUGAUUAGCUAGUUGGUGUGGUAACGGCACACCAAGGCUACGAUCAGUAACUGGUCUGAGAGGAUGAUCAGUCACACUGGAACUGAGACACGGUCCAGACUCCUACGGGAGGCAGCAGUGAGGAAUAUUGGGCAAUGCUCGAAAGAGUGACCCAGCAACGCCGCGUGGAGGAUGAAGGUAUUCUAUAUCGUAAACUCCUGUGAGAGCAGACGAAAGACAGAUUAUUAAUCUGGAUGACUGUAUGCUCAGAGGAAGCCCCGGCUAACUACGUG